Molecule: long non-coding RNA, 1627 nt
Filed under: Salmo salar (Atlantic salmon)
Lineage: Eukaryota; Metazoa; Chordata; Actinopteri; Salmoniformes; Salmonidae
Description: lncRNA (ENSSSAG00000086007.1)
Source: RNAcentral
UGUGUGUGUGAGAUAGUGUGUCCAGUGUGUGAGUGUGUGUGUUUGUCCAGUGUGUGUGUGUGUGUGUGUGUGUGUUUGUGUGUUUGUCCAGUGUGUGUGUGUGUUUGUCCAGUGUGUGUGUGUGUUUGUCCAGUGUGUGUGUGUGUGUGUGUUUGUCCAUGUGUGUGUGUGUGUGUGUGUUUGUCCAGUGUGUGUGUGUGUGUGUUUGUCCAGUGUGUGUUUGUCCAGUGUGUGUGUGUGUGUGUGUGUGUUUGUCCAGUGUGUGUGUGUGUGUGUGUGUGUGUUUGUCCAGUGUGUGUGUGUGUGUUUUUGUCCGGUAUGUGUGUGUGUGUGUUUGUCCAGUGUGUGUGUGUUUGUUUGUCCAGUGUGUGUGUGUGUGUGUGUGUCCAGUGUGUGUGUGUGUGUGUGUGUGUGUGUGUGUGUGUGUUGUCCAGUGUGUGUGUGUGUGUGUGUUUGUCCAGUGUGUGUGUGUUUGUCCAGUGUGUGUGUGUGUGUGUGUGUGUGUUUGUCCAGUGUGUGUGUGUGUGUUUGUCCAGUGUGUGUGUGUGUGUGUGUGUUUGUCCAGUGUGUGUGUGUGUGUUUGUCCAGGGUGUGUGUGUGUGUGUGUGUGUGUGUGUGUGUGUGUGUGUGUGUGUGUUUGUCCAGUGUGUGUGUGUGUGUGUUUGUCCAAUGUGUGUGUGUGUUUGUCCAGUGUGUGUGUGUGUGUGUGUUUGUCGAAGUGUGUGUGUGUGUGUGUGUGUUUGUCCAGUGUGUGUGUGUGUGUGUGUGUGUGUUUGUCCAGUGUGUGUGUGUGUGUGUGUGUGUUUGUCCAGUGUGUGUGUGUGUGUGUGUGUGUGUGUGUGUGUGUGUUUGUCCAGUGUGUGUGUGUGUGUGUGUGUUUGUCCAGUGUGUGUGUGUGUGUGUGUGUGUGUGUGUGUGUUUGUCCAGUGUGUGUGUGUGUGUGUGUGUGUGUUUGUCCAGUGUGUGUGUGUGUGUGUGUUUGUCCAGUGUGUGUGUGUGUGUUUGUCCAGGUGUGUGUGUGUGUGUGUUUGUCCAGUGUGUGUGUGUGUGUGUGUGUUUGUCCAGGUGUGUGUGUGUGUGUGUGUGUGUGUGUGUGUGUGUGUGUGUUUGUCCAGUGUGUGUGUGUGUGUUUGUCCAGUGUGUGUGUGUGUGUGUUUUUGUCCGGUAUGUGUGUGUGUGUUUGUCCAGUGAGUGUGUGUGUGUGUUUGUCCAGUGUGUGUGUGUGUGUUUGUCCAGUGUGUGUGUGUUUGUGUGUGUGUUUGUCCAGUGAGUGUGUGUGUGUGUUUGUCCAGUGUGUGUGUGUUUGUCCAGUGAGUGUGUGUGUGUUUGUUUGUCCAGGUGUGUGUGUGUGUGUGUGUUUGUCCAGUGUGUGUGUGUGUGUUUGUCCAGUGUGUGUGUGUGUGUUUGUCCAGUGUGUGUGUGUGUGUGUGUGUCCAGUGUGUGUGUGUGUGUGUCCAGUGUGUGUGUGUGUGUGUGUGUGUGUGUGUGUGUGUCCAGUGUGUGUGUGUGUGUCCAGUGUGUGUGUGUGUGUGUGUCCAGUGUGUGUGUGUGUGUGUGUGUCCAGUGUGUGUGUGUGUGUGUGUGUCCAGUGUGUGUGUGUGUGUGUCCAUUUUGUGUCCAGUUUCAG